CCUGCCCGGUGACACAUGUUCAACGGCCGCGGUAUCCUAACCGUGCAAAGGUAGCAUAAUCACUUGCCCAUUAAUUGUGGGCUAGAAUGAAUGGACCAACGAAAUAAAGACUGUCUCUAUAAGUUUCAUAAAAAUUAAUCUCUAACUGAAGAGUGUUAGAUAUUAUCGAAGGACAAGAAGACCCUAUAGAGCUUUAUCUGCAUAAAAUCCAAUAUUUUUAUAAGAUUCGGUUGGGGCGACCAGGGAAUAUAAUUAAACAUCCCUCUUCCACAGAUAAAUUAAUCUUAGUUCUGACCCUUAAUAAAGAUCACAAGACCAAGCUACCUUAGGGAUAACAGGCUAAUUUCACUAAAGAGUCCUUAUCAAUAGUGAAGUUUGGCACCUCGAUGUUGGCUUAGGGAAUCUAUGCGGCGCAAAAGUCGCAUAAAGAUGGUUUGUUCAACCAAUAAUACCCUACAUGAGCUGAGUUCAGACCGGCGUAAGCCAGGUUAGUUUCUAUCCUCGACAUUAUAACCUAUUUAUAGUACGAAAGGACCUAAAUAAGGAUAAUUAUUAUAGCCAAAGAAUAAAUAUAAUAUAAAUUAAAGAAAUCACUUACAUACAAUA
This 606-nucleotide ribosomal RNA is filed under the name Scherotheca aquitania. RNAcentral's name for it is "partial large subunit ribosomal RNA". It matches the Rfam family "Bacterial large subunit ribosomal RNA", at positions 1858 to 2827 of the family's 2925-position model. Lineage: Eukaryota; Metazoa; Annelida; Clitellata; Crassiclitellata; Lumbricidae. The record is from RNAcentral.